GACGAACGCUGGCGGCGUGCUUAACACAUGCAAGUCGAACGGAAAGGCCCUGCUUUUGUGGGGUGCUCGAGUGGCGAACGGGUGAGUAACACGUGAGUAACCUGCCCUUGACUUUGGGAGAACUUCAGGAAACUGGGGCUAAUACCGGAUAGGAGCUCCUGCUGCAUUGUGGGGGUUGGAAAGUUUCGGCGGUUGGGGAUGGACUCGCGGCUUAUCAGCUUGUUGGUGGGGUAGUGGCUUACCAAGGCUUUGACGGGUAGCCGGCCUGAGAGGGUGACCGGCCACAUUGGGACUGAGAUACGGCCCAGACUCCUACGGGAGGCAGCAGUGGGGAAUAUUGCACAAUGGGCGGAAGCCUGAUGCAGCAACGCCGCGUGCGGGAUGACGGCCUUCGGGUUGUAAACCGCUUUCGCCUGUGACGAAGCGUGAGUGACGGUAAUGGGUAAAGAAGCACCGGCUAACUACGUG
Molecule: ribosomal RNA, 468 nt
Filed under: uncultured bacterium
Lineage: Bacteria
Description: partial 16S ribosomal RNA
Rfam family: Bacterial small subunit ribosomal RNA
Source: RNAcentral